Oncorhynchus tshawytscha (Chinook salmon) is the source of this 993-nucleotide long non-coding RNA. The record is from Ensembl. Lineage: Eukaryota; Metazoa; Chordata; Actinopteri; Salmoniformes; Salmonidae.
GUCAACAACAUGAUAUUACUAUUAGAUAUUGGUGACUAUGAUAUAUUACUAAAUAUAUUACUAUUAGAAUGAAAGGCAUCUGGUGAAAGUCAACAACAUGAUAUAUUACUAUUAGAAUGAAAGGCUGGGCAUCUGGUGAAGGUCAACAACAUGAUAUAUUACUAUUAGAAUGAAAGGCAUCUGGUGAAGGUCAACAACAUGAUAUAUUACUAUUAGAAUGAAAGGCUGGGCACACUUUUUUUAGUGUGGAAAAAGUACAGAAGUUUCGGUAUACCACUAUUAUAUACUAACCUCUGGUGUAAAUGGGACACGGGCACAGAAGGAGCAAAGGAGACAAGACCAAAAAAGGCAACAUGAAAAACAAGCUCUUAAAAAAUAUAAAAAAGAUUUGGAAUUUGAUAUAUCGCACAGCCCUAGGUACAGAGAGUAAGUAGUCAUUCAAAAAGCAUGAUAAACACCAUUAUUGCACACAGAGUGAUUCUAUUAAACUUAUGUGACUUAUUAAGGACAGUUUUUACUCCUGAACUUAUUUUGGCUGGCCAAUAACAAAGAGGUUGAAUACUUAUUGACUCAGGACAUGUAAGCUAUUCAUUUGUAAAAAAAAAAAAAAAAUUUAAAAAUUCACUGUGGGGUAUUGUGUGUCGGCCAGUGACACAAAAUCUCACGCAAAUCAAUUUUCUAAGUCAGGCUGUAACACAUCAAAAUGUGGGAAAAAGUCAAGGGGGUUGUGAGUAUUUUCUGAAGGCACUAUUUAUUCUCCAAGAAUCAAUGGCUAUAUAUCGUUCAUUUAAAAGUUUUUUUAAAAACUGCAUGUACUAAUCACAGUUUUCCCCUUUAACAAUUCCUACAGUACUGAACAACAUAUUCAAGUGUAGAACUUCAGUAGAAUGCCACUUUAAAACCACACAUUAGUUCAACAACGGCAUAGUUUGUGCCCCUGUUUAAGACAGUACUCACUGGUAAUAAUCAGAUCUUCAGUCUCCUCCUCCAUUC